This is a non-coding RNA of Misgurnus anguillicaudatus (oriental weatherfish), 4664 nucleotides long. The record is from RefSeq and is a predicted model, not a curated record. NCBI's taxonomy places the organism in Eukaryota, Metazoa, Chordata, Actinopteri, Cypriniformes, Cobitidae.
CAGUCUCACACCCUAUUCGUCACAUACUGCCGUUUGGUCAUGACCCCCUCACGUCCAUAGCGGACGUUGAGGGUACCCCCUAUUCGUCGCUUGAAAACGUAGAGGGUCGUCCUAUAGAUUUGAAUGCAAACCCCUCAUCUUUGAAUUUUGACGAAAUGGGUUUAUCGGUUUGCCUGCGCAAUAUGGUUUUAGGCGAUUGAUUUUAUGCUGCAAAUGUGCAUUUUGCAACAAGCGUGCGGCGCAUAAACGGUUACAAUCAUUAUUGAUGCGGUGACCAAACAUUUUCGUGGAGCGGAAAGCCUUCUGAAUCGGUGUAUCACGACUUUUCUCUCUCUUUUUAUAUAGAUAUAUUUGGUAUACAAUAAAAUGACAUAUUUACAGGGCUGUAUUUGCUGUGUGUUUAAAACAUGCCUUAAUUAACGUAGAUAUUUUAUUAUUUUCGAUCACGCACAGUUGGUCAUUCCCCCUCACGUCUAUAAGCUGACGUUGAGGGUACCCCCCAUUUCGUCGCUUGACAACGUAGAAGGGUCGUCCGAUAUUUGAAUCCAAAUCCCUCAUCUUUGGAUUUUGACGAAAUGGGGGUAUUCAUGCCUGCGCUGCAAAGUAUGUUUUAGGCGAUUGAUUUUAUUGUUCAAAUGUGUAUUUUGCAGUAGCGUGCGGCUGUUACAUUCAUUGGUGCGGUGACUACGGUUACGUACCGCGGCAGAAUCCCUUGUCUGAAGCGGGAUCACGAAUUUCUCUCUCUUUAAGUUAUAUAUAUAUAUUGUUCUACAUUAAAAUGACAUGUUUACAGGACUGUAUAUUUGCUGUAUGUUUAAUUAAGAUAUACCCAAGGCAGUUCGUGUAAUUUAAUCGAUUCGUGUCCAUGGACACGAUUUUCCCCUUUUUUCGUGCCAGUCAGAACGACUUUCAAUCUAAUGUAUUUCAAUAGGAAGUAUUUUUCGUGCCUGCACCACGUUUUUUUGUCCUAUUAUUUUUUUCGUGUUUAUAAGCACGAAUUUAAUCUAAUGUAUUGCAAUAGUAUAUACCAGGGAUUGUUUUACUUUAUUUGUCAUUAAUUGAUUACACUUUAAGCGCUACUUUACUCAACAUUUAAUCAGGAGAUGUUUAUCCUAUAAUAUUGAUUUUUCGAUCGGUUUCGUGUGUCAAAUACAAGAGUAAAUACUACACUACCCAUGAGCCUUAUCGACAUCUACUAUGGUGAAGGCACCAGCUAAAACUACAUGUGGGCCCGCUGCAGAUCACAAUAUUUUCUCAACACAUGAACACUAACGUGUGCUUGAUAAUUCAACAAUACGAUGUUAUGGCCAUCAAUUUUGAUUGUUUCUACUUUGAUUGUAAAAAAAAAUAAGUCAGUUUCGGACGCCUGCAUUUCCCAGAAUCCUCUCUGCCUCCGUUGCUAUGGAAUCUGAGCCAGUCCUCUUUGCUAUUGGGUGAUUUCUUCUUCGGUACUCGUAAUUGACAGGGAUUCUCUCAUACGCGAAAAUCAUUGUCCAGCUGUGUGUUUGUCUUUCUGUCUUUGUCUGCUUUGCAAUGGCCACCAGAUAUACCCCUCACAAACAGGAUCCCCACUACCAAGAGGGGAGGCUCAUGGCUCUUGAGCUGAACCAUGACCACAUUCUAGCUGAAGCCAAGAGCAGCUGUGGAGACGAAACGUUUAUGCCCUAGAAGAGACCCUUCACAGACCUCUAAAAGGAUCUUUGUUGGCUGGGGCAAGCCGAGGGGGAGGCAAGGAGGGUGACGCCAAGCCUCAGCUACAGGUCACUUUUACAGGUUGAGUGCUUCCUGUCAUCCAGUGUGGAGUUUCCACUUAACUGUACCCUCAGCAAAACUAAAUCCUCAUGAGGAAUUUGGUGCAGAGAGUGGUUCUGUGGGGACCGUGAUGUAUUACGUCACAAAAAACAGCCACUCCCCAAUAGGGAAUGUGUAAUUAAUAGUUUUUUUGUAGCCAUCCGUCCAACCAAAUGCAUCAUUAAAGGGGAAGAUGGAUAUUGCACUCAACACAAGUCGGCAAGAUGACAUACCACUGUUGUAAACGCACAAACAUAUGUUCAUCAUUCAUCAGUUCUCACUUCCCUGGACUUCAACCUUGCUACACACAUGGUAUCGUUAUUAAUCGAAACAAAGACAGAUAUCUUUAUAUUUUUGUUCUCUGCAGACAAACAAAAAAUGUUAGCUGUUGCAAAGCAAUUUGGUGAGUUAGCAAAUGAUACUACUCGAGAAGUUAGGCAGAAGGAGUGCUAUACUGGGAUUAUAGAAACUUAUAAGAUGUCUCUUAAACAUUCACAAUGUGCAGAAUGAACUAACUGUUUUAAAAUAGUAUGUGGUAAAUGUUUUUUUUCCAAGGGCGUUUUGACUUGCCUCAGCCACUGUAUGUCUGUUAAACAUGCAAACAGCAAAGGACCCCAGACCUGAAAGACCUUCUGAGGAGUGGAUAUUGGCCAGCUUCAAUAAACAACACCACACUUUACACACUGGACCUCCUGAUCUCCUUUCAAGAACUCAAGGUCAUCUCUCCAAGAUUCUCCAGACAAGCCUUCGCAAAGCUGCUGGAGCAUCGCACGAAGUGUGGAGGAAGAUUUGGAUAUAUCAACGGCGAUGCACUGCAAUGCAGCUUCUUGGAGUUUUCAUACGCUUAAUUUGAAUCAGACCAGCUCUGGUGUGGUGCUCCUUUCACCUGCCCAGCCUGAACGCUAGAAUUGUUGGCUGCUUCAGCAGAUGGAAACAGAAAGCUAUAUCGCUUUUGCCGAAACAGAAGACUGUGGCUUGCAAAUAUUGGCCAUUUGAAGAAAGUUGCUAGUGUCCUUCCUGAUCUUCAGGAGCUGACCUCAAUGAAACCUUUCCUUAAUGUUAUGCAUGCUUGAGCCACACAAAAAAGUUUGAGAUUAAAUGAAGUGGUAGGAACCAGGAAGGAACAGGGACAACCACCGGUGAGUGGAGCAAGUGAACAGCUACCUUUCACGUUGUGCCCGUACAACCAAAUAUAUGUCCAAAGCAGGGGUGGACAUGCUUACAUUGCAUGCAAUGGGCUGGAACCAUAAAAAAGUAUCUCUCUACAUCAGGCACUUUCCACAAUAUAUGUGAAAAGACAUCAGAAACAUCUCAUGCCAGUCAAGGCACCACACACAGAAAACUUCAGCAGUCAAUUGAGGGGCUUUAUCUUAGUGUGAUGCUGUGCAAGCAGACUCUCUACUGUCAGAAUGACAGCAGCAAGCUUUGCCACCGCCUUCAAAGGAAGCUGGCAGAUGACAAAAGCUCCUUCUUCAGGAGAUACAGAACUACAAUGAUCUUGUACUAGACUCUGCCACAAACAUUGACCUAGCUGUGGUGGAGCAUUCCCUCACUGGAGAGAGCAGUGUGUCUCAGAUAUGACCGUGGGACCUUCAUGGCAGUGCAAACAUUUCAGUCAAGAAACGAUUGCAUGACCAAGUGAUGUUGACAAUGCGACUGCAAGAGGAAAGGGGCAUUGUGGUGUUGGAGAUGGCUCAACAAUACACAUGGUUGCAGAGCCUGGCAGUGGCUCUCAAGAACAAGAUGGCUGAGGAGGACAAGGGAAAUGAAGGACUUUGCUGUCUCUUAAGAAGAAGAUCGUCAGUGGUGUCAGAAGGGUUGCAAGUCGUCCUUCAACAAUACAAGACUGCAUUAGGUCUUGAGGCCUCUGUCCUUCUACAUGUUGAAGAAGAAGAUCAAAGUGACCUCAGCAGUCCAGAUACCAGCGAGGAUGAAGAGGAAAACAUAAUUUAGAUAGAAACUGCACAAAGGACUGCGUUUAAGGAAAUGGACUUGGCAUAUAUCUGUGUAGUGUUAGUAUGCUAACUACAUUAUUAUCUGUAUGCAUCCUAUAUUGUUAAAAUGUUCAACCUGUGUCUAGAUUAUCAAGCAUGUUAUUUAGCACGUUGAUGCUCCUUAAAUAUGCACAAACAUCUCAAUAUAGGUGCAAGAAUCGUAUGAUAUUAUCAGAUGUAAUAAUUGAACUUAUGUUAUAUUUGGAUAGUGUAUUCAUAAUUUGUGUAUUUAAAGUUGCUAAUGGGCAUUGUUAGCCACAUCACAAACUCACUGUUAAAACACUGCUUAUUGUGCCUUAUUGUGUUUAUGUACUUGCAUUGGUGCAGUAAUAUUGAAUGCAGUAAGGUCAUUGGUGUGUUUUAGCUUUGAACACAUAACACAGAGCUCAACCAAUCAGAAUAAUCAUUGAUAAUGAAGUAAAAGUUUUAAACGGGUAAGUUGAUAUGAAAUAUUGUAAGCACAUUCAUCAGGAUGACUUUGCUGACCUUGUGACCUUUAUUACCACAUUUAGGCCAAAAUGUGAAAACUCUACUUGAUUGAGUGUAUUAUAGGAUAUAACUGUUGUGCACCAUUGAAGAUAAACAUCAUAAAUUCUUUCUUAAAGAUGGAUAAUUUGUUGGCAAUGUGUCUGUCACUAUUAAACACUAUAGUAUGCAAAAGAAAAAUACACUAGAUUUGUAUUUUAUGAUUAUACUUAUAUUGUGUAUUACUACAUUUGAUAGAUAACUUUAUUCCCUGUUCUGCUGGUGGUUUUCAAGUGAACUUCACAGUCUAGUGUUAUUAAAUUCAGCCUUAUGGCUUGAUUGACAAAUUUGCAUUUCAUGUAUUUUCACUGCUUUUAUUGUGAAAGACAAAAAAUAAAGUGUUUCUAAACAUGA